RNAcentral lists this ribosomal RNA (497 nucleotides) under uncultured bacterium. RNAcentral's name for it is "partial 16S ribosomal RNA". It matches the Rfam family "Bacterial small subunit ribosomal RNA", at positions 28 to 507 of the family's 1533-position model. The record is from RNAcentral.
GACGAACGCUGGCGGCGUGCCUAAUACAUGCAAGUCGAGCGCUCAAGCUUGGUGCUUGUACCUACUGCAUUAGCAGCGGACGGGUGAGUAACGCGUGGGUAAUCUGCCUUUGAGCGUGGGACAACUUCUGGAAACGAAUGCUAAUACCGCAUAAAAACUUUAAACACAUGUUUUAAGUUUGAAAGAUGCAAUUGCAUCACCUAAUGAUUAUCCCGCGUUGGCUUAGCUAGUUGGUGAGGUAAAGGCCCACCCAGGCGAUGAUACAUAGCCGGCCUGGAAGGGUGAUUGGGCAAAAUGGGAAUGAGAAACGGCCCCAAACCCCAAGGGAGGGAGCAGUAGGGAAACUUCGGGAAUGGACGAAAGUCUGAACGGGCCAAGGCGGGGGAGUGAAGAAGGUUUUCGGAUCGUAAAAAUCCGUUGGUAGAGAAGAACGUAAGUGGGAGUGGACAGCUCAUCAAGUGACGGUAACUACUCAGAAAGCGACGGCUAACUACGUG